This 264-nucleotide ribosomal RNA is filed under the name uncultured bacterium. RNAcentral's name for it is "partial 16S ribosomal RNA". It matches the Rfam family "Bacterial small subunit ribosomal RNA", at positions 337 to 618 of the family's 1533-position model. The record is from RNAcentral.
GCCUACGGGACGCAGCAGUGGGGAAUAUUGCACAAUGGGGGAAACCCUGAUGCAGCGACGCCGCGUGAGUGAAGAAGUAUUUCGGUAUGUAAAGCUCUAUCAGCAGGGAAGAUAAUGACGGUACCUGACUAAGAAGCCCCGGCUAACUACGUGCCAGCAGCCGCGGUAAUACGUAGGGGGCCAGGGUUAUCCGGAUUUACUGGGUGUAAAGGGUGCGUAGGUGGCAGGGCCGGUCAGAUGUGAAAGCCCGGAGCUCAACCCCGG